Small nuclear RNA from Phragmites australis (common reed), 196 nucleotides. RefSeq annotates it as U2 spliceosomal RNA. The record is from RefSeq and is a predicted model, not a curated record. NCBI's taxonomy places the organism in Eukaryota, Viridiplantae, Streptophyta, Magnoliopsida, Poales, Poaceae. The transcript has a single exon.
AUAACUUUCUUAGCCUUUUGGCUAAGAUCAAGUGUAAUAUAUGUUCUUAAUAAUUGAAUAUCUGAUACGUUGACCAUGUUACUAUUUUGAUAUUAAAAUUAUUUUUUUCUAAGAGAAUGCCCAUCGUAGUGGCUUGCCACUGGAUCCUCGUUUCUCACCUAGGUAUUGCACUAUGGCUUAGGCCUAAAAAUGGGGU